AGUGAACGCUGGCGGUAGGCCUAACACAUGCAAGUCGAACGGCAGCACAGUAAGAGCUUGCUCUUACGGGUGGCGCGUGGCGGAAGGGUGAGGAAUACAUCGGAAUCUACUUUUUCGUGGGGGCUAACGUAGGGAAACUUACGCUAAUACCGCAUACGACCUACGGGUGAAAGCAGGGGAUCUUCUGACCUUGCGCGAUUGAAUGAGCCGAUGUAGGAUUAGCUAGUUGGCGGGGUAAAGGCCCACCAAGGCGACGAUCCGUAGCUGGUCUGAGAGGAUGAUCAGCCACACUGGAACUGAGACACGGUCCAGACUCCUACGGUAGGCAGCAGUGGGGAAUAUUGGACAAAGGGCGCAAGCCUGAUCCAGCCAUACCGCGUGGGUGAAGAAGGCCUUCGGGUUGGAAAGCCCUUUUGUUGGGAAAGAAAAGCAGCAGGUUAAUACCCCGCUGUUCUGACGGUACCCAAAGAAUAAGCACCGGCUAACUUCGUG
Molecule: ribosomal RNA, 492 nt
Filed under: uncultured bacterium
Lineage: Bacteria
Description: partial 16S ribosomal RNA
Rfam family: Bacterial small subunit ribosomal RNA
Source: RNAcentral